Molecule: ribosomal RNA, 1016 nt
Filed under: human oral metagenome
Description: bacterial SSU rRNA
Rfam family: Bacterial small subunit ribosomal RNA
Source: RNAcentral
AGAGUUUGAUCCUGGCUCAGAUUGAACGCUGGCGGCAUGCUUUACACAUGCAAGUCGGACGGCAGCGGGGUAGUGCUUGCACUACUGCCGGCGAGUGGCGAACGGGUGAGUAACAUAUCGGAACGUACCGAGCAGUGGGGGAUAACUAAUCGAAAGAUUAGCUAAUACCGCAUAUCUUCUGAGGAAGAAAGCAGGGGACCUUUGGGCCUUGCGCUGUUUGAGCGGCCGAUAUCUGAUUAGCUGGUUGGUGGGGUAAAGGCCUACCAAGGCGACGAUCAGUAGCGGGUCUGAGAGGAUGAUCCGCCACACUGGGACUGAGACACGGCCCAGACUCCUACGGGAGGAUGAUCCGCCACACUGGGACUGAGACACGGCCCAGACUCCUACGGGAGGCAGCAGUGGGGAAUUUUGGACAAUGGGCGCAAGCCUGAUCCAGCCAUGCCGCGUGUCUGAAGAAGGCCUUCGGGUUGUAAAGGACUUUUGUCAGGGAAGAAAAGGCUGUUGCUAAUAUCGACAGCUGAUGACGGUACCUGAAGAAUAAGCACCGGCUAACUACGUGCCAGCAGCCGCGGUAAUACGUAGGGUGCGAGCGUUAAUCGGAAUUACUGGGCGUAAAGCGAGCGCAGACGGUUACUUAAGCAGGAUGUGAAAUCCCCGGGCUCAACCUGGGAACUGCGUUCUGAACUGGGUGACUAGAGUGUGUCAGAGGGAGGUAGAAUUCCACGUGUAGCAGUGAAAUGCGUAGAGAUGUGGAGGAAUACCGAUGGCGAAGGCAGCCUCCUGGGAUAACACUGACGUUCAUGCUCGAAAGCGUGGGUAGCAAACAGGAUUAGAUACCCUGGUAGUCCACGCCCUAAACGAUGUCAAUUAGCUGUUGGGCAACUUGAUUGCUUAGUAGCGUAGCUAACGCGUGAAAUUGACCGCCUGGGGAGUACGGUCGCAAGAUUAAAACUCAAAGGAAUUGACGGGGACCCGCACAAGCGGUGGAUGAUGUGGAUUAAUUCGAUGCAACGCGA